GGGGGGGGGAGCUAUAAUGCAGUCGAACGAGUUCUCGUUGAUGAUCGGUGCUUGCACCGAGAUUCAACAUGGAACGAGUGGCGGACGGGUGAGUAACACGUGGGUAACCUGCCCUUAAGUGGGGGAUAACAUUUGGAAACAGAUGCUAAUACCGCAUAGAUCCAAGAACCGCAUGGUUCUUGGCUGAAAGAUGGCGUAAGCUAUCGCUUUUGGAUGGACCCGCGGCGUAUUAGCUAGUUGGUGAGGUAAUGGCUCACCAAGGCGAUGAUACGUAGCCGAACUGAGAGGUUGAUCGGCCACAUUGGGACUGAGACACGGCCCAAACUCCUACGGGAGGCAGCAGUAGGGAAUCUUCCACAAUGGACGCAAGUCUGAUGGAGCAACGCCGCGUGAGUGAAGAAGGCUUUCGGGUCGUAAAACUCUGUUGUUGGAGAAGAAUGGUCGGCAGAGUAACUGUUGUCGGCGUGACGGUAUCCAACCAGAAAGCCACGGCUAACUACGUGCCAGCAGCCGCGGUAAUACGUAGGUGGCAAGCGUUAUCCGGAUUUAUUGGGCGUAAAGCGAGCGCAGGCGGUUUUUUAAGUCUGAUGUGAAAGCCCU
RNAcentral lists this ribosomal RNA (600 nucleotides) under Lacticaseibacillus casei. Its description in RNAcentral is "bacterial SSU rRNA". It matches the Rfam family "Bacterial small subunit ribosomal RNA", at positions 38 to 604 of the family's 1533-position model. Lineage: Bacteria; Bacillati; Bacillota; Bacilli; Lactobacillales; Lactobacillaceae. The record is from RNAcentral.